AAAAUUUAAGUCCAUGGACAUUAUGGUUGGCCAAAUUCAAUAUGAAUCUAGAUAGUCAUUUGUACAAAUUUGUUUAGGAUGAUUUUUCUAAAAUAUAUAAAAUUGUACUAGUACCUUUUAGGUUAUAUAAAAAUAAAAAAAUGAUUUAGAGAAAAAAUAUAUCUUUUUUAUUAUUAAAUUUAAAAAAGUCUCAAAUGUAAAAAAUAAUCAAAUAAUUUGAAGAAUAAAUAAUUUAAAAUUUAUUAAAUUAAAAAAUUGGGAAAACUAAAAAAAAAAACUCAAGAAUAACGUAAAU
RNAcentral lists this long non-coding RNA (295 nucleotides) under Gossypium barbadense (sea-island cotton). RNAcentral's name for it is "long non-coding RNA (GBAR_LNC009615)". The record is from RNAcentral. Lineage: Eukaryota; Viridiplantae; Streptophyta; Magnoliopsida; Malvales; Malvaceae.